UAAUACGAAGGUCCCGAGCGUUGUUCGGAAUCACUGGGCGUAAAGGGAGCGUAGGCGGCGUGGUAAGUCAGAUGUGAAAUCCCGGGGCUCAACCCCGGAACUGCAUCCGAUACUGCCGUGCUAGAGGAUUGGAGAGGUAGCUGGAAUUCUUGGUGUAGCAGUGAAAUGCGUGGAGAUCAAGAGGAACACUCGUGGCGAAAGCGAGCUACUGGACAAUAUCUGACGCUGAGGCUCGAAGGCCAGGGUAGCGAAAGGG
This 256-nucleotide ribosomal RNA is filed under the name uncultured bacterium. RNAcentral's name for it is "partial 16S ribosomal RNA". It matches the Rfam family "Bacterial small subunit ribosomal RNA", at positions 521 to 776 of the family's 1533-position model. The record is from RNAcentral.